CGAAUGCUGACAUAAGUAACGAUAAAGCGGGUGAAAAGCCCGCUCGCCGGAAGACCAAGGGUUCCUGUCCAACGUUAAUCGGGGCAGGGUGAGUCGACCCCUAAGGCGAGGCCGAAAGGCGUAGUCGAUGGGAAACAGGUUAAUAUUCCUGUACUUGGUGUUACUGCGAAGGGGGGACGGAGAAGGCUAUGUUGGCCGGGCGACGGUUGUCCCGGUUUAAGCGUGUAGGCUGGUUUUCCAGGCAAAUCCGGAAAAUCAAGGCUGAGGCGUGAUGACGAGGCACUACGGUGCUGAAGCAACAAAUGCCCUGCUUCCAGGAAAAGCCUCUAAGCAUCAGGUAACAUCAAAUCGUACCCCAAACCGACACAGGUGGUCAGGUAGAGAAUACCAAGGCGCUUGAGAGAACUCGGGUGAAGGAACUAGGCAAAAUGGUGCCGUAACUUCGGGAGAAGGCACGCUGAUAUGUAGGUGAAGUCCCUUGCGGAUGGAGCUGAAAUCAGUCGAAGAUACCAGCUGGCUGCAACUGUUUAUUAAAAACACAGCACUGUGCAAACACGAAAGUGGACGUAUACGGUGUGACGCCUGCCCGGUGCCGGAA
This 598-nucleotide ribosomal RNA is filed under the name Escherichia coli. Its description in RNAcentral is "partial 23S ribosomal RNA". It matches the Rfam family "Bacterial large subunit ribosomal RNA", at positions 1291 to 1874 of the family's 2925-position model. Lineage: Bacteria; Pseudomonadati; Pseudomonadota; Gammaproteobacteria; Enterobacterales; Enterobacteriaceae. The record is from RNAcentral.